UAGACAGUACUUACUCGACUCCCAAGAUGUAAGGCUGCACGGUGAGGUAGGAGUGUCAUCCCUGUCUGAGAGACAAAAACAUAGUUGACGCCUUGACGAACAAAAUAAUCACGGCAUUUCAUUCCAUCUACCUGUCGAGUUCCACGUGUCCUCGCCUUCUUCACAGUCUCCGCUGUUGGGUCUUCUGCCCACACCUGCAGAAUACCUUUUCUUCUUGCGACUGCCUGAAUGGGAACUGUGACUAUUUCCCAAAUGGAUCCCUAAACGCACAGAAAUGAAUAAAUACGUAUAAUUCUAAAACAAGUCGUAAUUUAGGUCGGUGCCGGCUCGGUAUUUGUGGUCGCUUACUGUACGAAAGUAUCUUUACGUAAAAAUUUUAAUACAUGUUCAUUUGGAACUUGUUUUAUUGUGCAUGUGUCCUUAAUGUUGUGACCAAUGAGAGUAUAGUUGGCACACCUGUAUUUUGGACCUCCACACCAUCCUGUACGCUUUUGUUAGGGUUGCUGUCAAUUAUGGUGAAGGCCGUGUACAUGGAGACGAUGUUACAAUGCUUACUGGUUUGGAUGGCCUUCACACGGUACCGCUUAGCUGAACCUACAGACAUACAUUGUGAGUAUACUUGCACGUAUACAGUAUGGAUAUUAUCUAGCCAUUCAUUUUCAACAGAGCUUGUCCUCAUAAGGCUGACACCAGCUGUUGUGCAUGCUUUUGAAAUGUGGAAAGAAGCUAGAGUACCCAUAGAAAAUACAUGCAAUGUAUGUUAUUGUUGUAUUUUAAAACAUAUAUUUAUGUAUGUAGUUUAAACUCAACCAUGUCCUUUUUGGUCCUCCCUUUCGGACAUUUUCUCAAAGUCUCUUAUGACAGAACGAGCCGUCAGCUGGUGUAUGAUCUCGUCCCAAGAUUCCCUCUCUCUUCCCCCUCCUUGACUUCUGCAUCCUUCCCCCACUCUUGCCCUCUGGUCCUCAGGGAGCAAGAGGUGGGCCAGGUUCACCGUGGCCUCCCACAUUACAGGUCUGCCGCAAAGAAGGCCGUGAAUGAGGGAGCGGCAUUGGCCCGGUUGAGGAUCUUCCAGUGGAACUGCAGUGAAUAGGUAGUCGGGGUCUGUGAAGUUGUCCCAGUCCAGAGGAGAGGCGGGAAAAAGGAGUCCACCUGUCGGGUGGGAGGGACAAAGAAAUGAAGCGGUACCUCGACUUACGAUAUGAAGGGAAGAAGGAAAGGGAUAAUUCUUGUCAACUCACUGGAAUCAUUAAGACUUCUGCGGGACAGUGUCUCUGGUGGCUUUGCCUCCCCGUCACUUUCAUCCAGCCUUCCUCCCAGAGUUUGGUCGAAGGAGACCCUUUCCAGAGCUCUCCUAAGGCGAUGCAUCUCCAUCUCACCCUGCGGCGAUGAGAAGCUUCUCGCUGCCAUGGUGGAACGGGCCAGUGAUUUUUGUCUCCAAUGUGGGCCGUCGCUACAAGACAAGUGUACAUUCUGGAGAGGAAAAAGCGCAAUUCCGUCAGCUGAGAGGUUCUGCUGCCAUGCCGAGUCAGCCCAGCGAGACAAAGAUGACCGCGGUUCUGGACCAGUUAUCUUCUCAAGGCCUUGAGGUAAGGAUCCCGUGUCCAGUAGCAGAGCAGACGGCAUAGGGUCAGGCAGACAGGCCCGGCUCGUUGUGUCACUACUUGAAGAGGCCUGUACGUGUGUGGGGAGACUCCGCUCACUACUGAGUGAGCAGCGGGUCAGGAUGUACUGCUCCUGAAUGUAGGAGCUCUCCUGGAUCCUCGUCCUCACGUCGCUUGACCAGUCUAACGCUCCACCUGUAGAGCGCAUAUAAGGCAAGUGUUAACCACGGUGGAGGGUUUGAUUAACCUCAAAUUCUGUGGAAACUUUCCAUCGCAAUUGACGAAAUGGAAGGUUAGAUCAUAAUUGAGAACUUAGAUAUUGUUUUGCAUAAUCUUGAUUCCUGCCUACAGCACCCAAAUUUCAUGCUAGUACACUAGUACCUUGACUUGCGUAUUAUCCGUAUUACCUUUGUAUAAGUGUACAUAUUAUAAAAAUUGUAUUUUGCAAAAUGUUCAUUCUUGAAUGUAGUACCUUUCCACUAAACCUCCUUAAUUCCCAGUAAUUUUCAUAACUUCCAUGGAAAGUUUAAAACAUUUUCAAAAUUAUCCAUCCUCUCAUGCAAUUAAGCUGGAAAAUAUCCACUUGUUUGUAACACUCGGAGCAAUGCAAUGUUUUUCGUUGCGACUGGCCUGCACAGGUGUCCGGGUCCGCGUCUUUGGCACAGGAGAACUCUGAGGAGAUUUCUCUGGAAAUUUCCCUCAACGCCUCCUCCAGGUCGUUCCCUUCUGGACAAGUCACCGCAGGCAUGAGCUCAGAAGUCGGAGGUGAGAUGUCGUCAUUUGACGGGCAAAAAACAGAACCCAUGGAGGUGUUGUGUAUACCCUUGUUGUCCCUCUGAAACAUAUAGGUGGCAGCGUUUCAGACCUUGGGCUGAAGUCUUUCCUCAUCUUCCAAAAACUCCGCAGUACCUCCUGUCAGUUUGGCAACGCCCUGCAGGAGUCGCCUGCAAGCUCGGGAGCCGAGGCCCAAGCCAAAGCAUCUGCAGGGAUGCUGGAGCUCCCGCAGCAGUGCCAUUCCCGGCCUUCAGAAGUACCUGGGCAGCAGUCCAGGCAGCAGUCCUUCAGCUUGCCUCGGUUCUGGAUCUGGACUCCCAUCAGACGCCCCGCAAUGGCCGCCUCAAAGCCAACCACAACCUCCUUUUCGCCGAGAGGGUACACAAACACACCUGCGUAGA
Long non-coding RNA from Hippocampus zosterae (dwarf seahorse), 2776 nucleotides. RefSeq lists it as uncharacterized. Lineage: Eukaryota; Metazoa; Chordata; Actinopteri; Syngnathiformes; Syngnathidae. The record is from RefSeq and is a predicted model, not a curated record. The transcript is spliced from 4 exons.